GAGGGUAUAGCUCAAGUGGUAGAGCACAUGCUUAGCAUUCAUGAGGCCCUGGGUUCAAUCCUCAGCACCUCCC
Molecule: transfer RNA, 73 nt
Filed under: Camelus bactrianus (Bactrian camel)
Lineage: Eukaryota; Metazoa; Chordata; Mammalia; Artiodactyla; Camelidae
Also listed under: 2 other names
Rfam family: tRNA
About the family: Transfer RNA (tRNA) molecules are approximately 80 nucleotides in length. Their secondary structure includes four short double-helical elements and three loops (D, anti-codon, and T loops).
Source: Rfam by way of RNAcentral